UCGCCGUUCGGCAUGGUGGACAGGAUGCGCCCGUCCUUCGACGGCGUGUCCGGCAGCUGGUAGCGGCGGUCGCCGCCCGGCGCGGCGAUGUCGAC
RNAcentral lists this transfer RNA (95 nucleotides) under Streptomyces griseoloalbus. RNAcentral's name for it is "tRNA-Arg". The record is from RNAcentral. Lineage: Bacteria; Bacillati; Actinomycetota; Actinomycetes; Kitasatosporales; Streptomycetaceae.